RNAcentral lists this long non-coding RNA (229 nucleotides) under Brassica napus (rape). RNAcentral's name for it is "long non-coding RNA (BNAP_LNC015518)". The record is from RNAcentral. Lineage: Eukaryota; Viridiplantae; Streptophyta; Magnoliopsida; Brassicales; Brassicaceae.
CAAAAUAGCACAUUUCUAUGUUUAUAUCACAAAAAUAGCACUCAAAAACUAAAAUGACCAAAAUAGCACCUUUCUAAGUUUAUAUCUUAUCCCCAAAACCUCAUUUUUCAAUUCUAAACCCUAAACCCUAAACUCUAAACCCUAAACCCUAAACUCUAAACCCUAAACCCUAAACUCUAAAUCCUAAACCCUAAACCCUAAACCCUAAACUCUAAACCCUAAACCCUAA